AUACGGAGGGUGCAAGCGUUAAUCGGAAUUACUGGGCGUAAAGCGUUCGUAGGCGGUUUGUUAAGCAAGAUGUGAAAGCCCUGGGCUCAACCUGGGAACUGCAUUUUGAACUGGCAAGCUAGAAUACUGUAGAGGGUGGUGGAAUUUCCAGUGUAGCGGUGAAAUGCGUAGAGAUUGGAAGGAACAUCAGUGGCGAAGGCGGCCACCUGGACAGAUAUUGACGCUGAGGAACGAAAGCGUGGGGAGCGAACAGGAUUAGAAACCCGAGUAGUCC
Molecule: ribosomal RNA, 274 nt
Filed under: uncultured bacterium
Lineage: Bacteria
Description: partial 16S ribosomal RNA
Rfam family: Bacterial small subunit ribosomal RNA
Source: RNAcentral